RNAcentral lists this long non-coding RNA (517 nucleotides) under Zostera marina. RNAcentral describes it as "long non-coding RNA (ZMAR_LNC004081)". The record is from RNAcentral. Lineage: Eukaryota; Viridiplantae; Streptophyta; Magnoliopsida; Alismatales; Zosteraceae.
AUUUUAAUUAGGAGCCUGUAAAAUUUUUCAUUCAUCAUUUUUGCAAUUUUGAAUAAAUAUCUUUUACCUUUUCCUUUAUUUGCCUUACACCUUUACUUUGAAGUACGUUAGUGUAACCGAAAUUUUUCUUGGUCAGUACCAUAUUCCUUUUUUCCUUUUCUAAAGGUGUCUGAUUUUUGGCAAGUCGAUCUCGUUGAAAUGUCGAUGUUGCCUAAAAAUGUCGAUCCCACCUUUUUUUCCGAGAAAGUCGAUGACUGCUGAUCCUUUUCUAAAGGUGUCGACUUUUUGACAAGGCGAUCUCAUUUCUCCCUGGAAAUGUCGAUGUUGUAAAAAAUGUCGAUCCCACCUUUUUUCUGAGGAUGUCGAAGACUGCUGAUCCUUUUCUAAAGGUGUCGAAUUUUUGACAAGUCGAUCUCAUUUCUCCCUGGAAAUGUCGAAGUUGUAAAAAAUGUCGAUCCCACCUUUUUUCUGAGGAUGUCGAAGACUGCUGAUCCUUUUCUAAAGGUGUCGAAUUUUU